Molecule: non-coding RNA, 75 nt
Organism: Thermococcus celer
Lineage: Archaea; Methanobacteriati; Methanobacteriota; Thermococci; Thermococcales; Thermococcaceae
Source: Rfam
GGGCCGGUAGCUCAGCAUGGUUAGAGCGCGGGACUCUUAAUCCCGUGGUCGGGGGUUCGAAUCCCCCCCGGCCCG